GACGAACGCUGGCGGCGUGCUUAACACAUGCAAGUCGAACGGAAAGGCCCUGCUUUUGUGGGGUGCUCGAGUGGCGAACGGGUGAGUAACACGUUAGUAACCUGCCCUUGACUUUGGGAUAACUUCAGGAAACUGGGGCUAAUACCGGAUAGGAGCUCCUGCUGCAUGGUGGGGGUUGGAAAGUUUCGGCGGUUGGGGAUGGACUCGCGGCUUAUCAGCUUGUUGGUGGGGUAGUGGCUUGCCAAGGCUUUGACGGGUAGCCGGCCUGAGAGGGUGACCGGCCACAUUGGGACUGAGAUACGGCCCAGACUCCUACGGGAGGCAGCAGUGGGGAAUAUUGCACAAUGGGCGGAAGCCUGAUGCAGCAACGCCGCGUGCGGGAUGACGGCCUUCGGGUUGUAAACCGCUUUCGCCUGUGACGAAGCGUGAGUGACGGUAAUGGGUAAAGAAGCACCGGCUAACUACGUG
Molecule: ribosomal RNA, 468 nt
Filed under: uncultured bacterium
Lineage: Bacteria
Description: partial 16S ribosomal RNA
Rfam family: Bacterial small subunit ribosomal RNA
Source: RNAcentral